CUACGGGACGCUGCAGUGGGGAAUAUUGCACAAUGGAGGAAACUCUGAUGCAGCAACGCCGCGUGGAGGAUGACACUCUUCGGAGCGUAAACUCCUUUUAUAUAGGAAGAAGAUGACGGUACUAUAUGAAUAAGCGCCGGCUAACUCCGUGCCAGCAGCCGCGGUAAUACGGAGGGCGCAAGCGUUACUCGGAAUCACUGGGCGUAAAGAGCGUGUAGGCGGAUUAAAAAGUCAGAAGUGAAAUCCUAUAGCUUAACUAUAGAACUGCUUCUGAAACUCUUAAUCUAGAAUAUGGGAGAGGUAGAUGGAAUUUCUGGUGUAGGGGUAAUAUCCGUAGAGAUCAGAAGGAAUACCGAUUGCGAAGGCGAUCUACUAGAACAUUAUUGACGCUGAGACGCGAAAGCGUGGGGAGCAAACAGGAUUAGAUACCCCAGUAGUC
RNAcentral lists this ribosomal RNA (439 nucleotides) under uncultured bacterium. RNAcentral's name for it is "partial 16S ribosomal RNA". It matches the Rfam family "Bacterial small subunit ribosomal RNA", at positions 339 to 795 of the family's 1533-position model. The record is from RNAcentral.